AAGAUGACAAACACCCUGGCUCAAGAGAUGAAAUGGUUAAAAAAAAAGUGUCAGCAUCCUCCAGUUACAUUCAGUUUGCCAAAGCCACAGUGUUCUUCAUUCACCACACCCAUCUUUCCAAGGCCUUCCCUUAUUUUUCGGACAUGGGAUGUUAUGACAUGUUUUAAGAGCAAAGAUCUAAUUACUACAAGGAAUGCAGCUCCCCAGCUCACGGGCCUUGCAAAACAAUUUCGCCUCCAAGGAAUAGGUCUGGUCCUCCUCUUCCUCCCCCCCCCCCCCGUGUGAAUGCCAGUGAUUUGUAUGCCCUUUCAAACUCCAACUCUAUAUCCCUGAUACACUUCCUAGCCAUACCUCAUUAGAUCCUUAAAUUAUGCACUGGGAUCUGUUCUCUAGCUCCAGCUCUUUCUAGUGAAAAGCUUUUCUUAGGCUGCCUUGCUUUGUCCCAGUUAUCGUGCAGCCUGGGAUUGCUCCUUCAAUCUUAAAUCCAGUCUGAAGCCUCUGCCAUCCAGGUAGCCAGUGACUGCAGGGUCAACUGAACUGCUCCCAUAGCAGAGAUCAUGCUAGCCAUAUUCUCUGACAUUUCUUUGAGCAGUGGAAAUACCUGCUCCUGCCUCAUGCCUGGCCACAUGGCUAAGAUUCCAUUCUUGGUGGUGGGUUUCUGCUCAUCUUGACUUUUUCAGCAGUUUUUGCAUGGCCUGAGACCUCUACCAAAGUCUUAUUGCUAGCCUGGUAAGUUUAGAUGCUGUUAGGUGUGCUGGAGAGGCUUUGGGGGUGAGGUCAUUACAUUUUAAAAAAUUCUUUCCUCUCUAGCAUGGAGCAGGUGACACCACAUGAUGAGCCUGGCAUCAUGGUACCUGACAAUUAUUUUCCAUCACCUCUAGCUAUGUAACUCCUCGUGAAAAAGUUUUGUGCUAUCACAAUGGCAGCAUACCAUGGUGCAGUAACUCAAGAUGUUACUCAAAAGUGGCACCAUGGUGGGAAGAAGCCAGUUUGGUUUUGAGCCUCAUGCCAUGGCCCCUUCAACUUAGUAGCUCAGUUCCUACCUCAGCCGAUUGUGCUUAGGUGUUGCAGUUGAUAUGGCCUUUGAUUGGAGAGCUUCAAAUUAGGGUGGGGUGGGGGCUCAUUCAGGCCCAUUAUACAACCCCUUUGCACUAAUCUAGCAGCAUGAAGGGGAUGCACCGCUGGCAUGGGGAAAUCCUUAGCAGGUGUAGAGCCAGCUCUAUGCAUUCCCCUUCUGUCCCAUUGUAGGAGCGUAUGUGGGGGGGGGGUGCCUGGGGAGAAGGGAAGUUGGCAAUCCCCACCUGGGAUAAUAGCCCUUUGAGGGGCAUUACUAGCCAGCAUUAAUUAGAGCAGUCCUCAGUUAGAGUAGCCUAGGGGCUGGUCUAUUUUAUGCGAGGAGUUGAAGCAACUCCCAGAAACAAGGGUGAGUGGGGAGUGCAGAUGUGGCAUACAGUCUCUUUUUCCUUCCCCUCCACCAAGUCGUGUAUUCAGAUGGACUCAGAGAUUGGAGCCAGAGAGUUUAACGUACUAAAUAAGCUGCAGAAGCCACAGCACAUUGGGGUGAGUUAAGGACAUACUUUCCAGCCAUAAUUCUGAGUUUCCUAGCUUUUGUCAGCUUAAGCCAGAUUCUUAAUGUUAUUUUAAUGCAGUUGUUGUGUGUGUGUGUGUGAAUAAUAUGCUCUUUAUGCCAAACCACAAGCCCUGGAACUAAUAUCUCAUAAAAAUGCUGAGAGCCCAAAGUGAAUAGCUGUUAUGCAGAAAAUAGGGUGAUAGCUAAAAAAUUACAGCCUGCUGUUAUUCCCACUGUGGAGGUAAAAUGAAAUGUGACUAGUGACUGGUACUGGGUGCAAUUGAAUGUACAUGAUCAGUGACUGGGGAGGAAAUAUCAUAUUAUUAGCUUUAAACCAGAACAUGCUAUGGCUCAUCAUUCAAAAGAGUGUGUAUAAAGUGCACCCCAACCCUUAACUGGAGUACAGGGAAUCUGAAUUCAGGGUAGUUGGGGGAUUUCCAUCUGCUUGUCCUUUUAAGGAGGAGUUAAAAAAAUGUUCAGUAUUUAAAAUAACACUCCACCCACUGAUGGGUUAAUACAGCUCAUCCUCACUCGCGGGCAAUGAUUCACUAGAGGAGAACUCAGGAUACCAAAAAGAUGGAUGGAUCCUUUCGCCCAAGGUCGGUGGUUUUUGAGCAAGUCACGGAAGUGGUGAAGUCAGGCUCCCCAGCACACUACAGCCCCUGCCAGCUGGACAAGAAGCAGCAGUGGUGUCAGCUCAGGGGCAGGUGCUUGUUUGCCUUCCCAGCCAGCAAAAGUUUGUGGAGAUGGAAACAGCAGCGAGUCAUGAGGAGAGGGAGGGAGGGAGGUAGAAGGGUAAAGGACUGAGGUGAAGGAAAAGAAAAAACAGGAAUUCAGUGUUCGUAAGUUUGUGUCAUGUUCAUUCCAGUCUCAGAAAUCAAGCCAUGGGAUGUCAAUGCAUCCUGUGAGAGUGCCAAGAUUUCUGACAGGAGUUACUAUCUUUUCUCAAGAGCACAUAAGAAGAUUCCCCCCCCCCCCCGAACAUCUGAUUUAGAAACCUCACAUCCUGAUGGGCAAAACAAAGAUAAGGCAGCCCGUAGAAAGGGGGAUGCUGAUUUAGAAAUAAGAAAUGAAGUAGGGUCUGUAGACAGUGGUUGUGGGUAAACACCUUCAAUAGAACUUUUUAGGGUGUACAAAUGGUAUAGGUAAAACAAGGGCGGAAACUUGUAAUUACUCCACAGUAAUGAAUGCAAUCCUUAAUAGAUUUGGGGCACUAGCUGGGUCUAUGACUUAUUGCCCACAAAAGAAUCAGCGAGGAAAAAGGAUACUCUCUAGAAACAAACUAUUGAUUAUUUGCCUGUAACACAAAAGGGAUUCGCUUCUGCAGAGCGGAAGAAUUGAUGUGUCGUGUGCACUGUUUAUUUUGCUUUAAUCAGAUUCACACCCCCUACCUCCCACUCUUAAUAAAGCUUGUUUUACUACA
This is a long non-coding RNA of Dermochelys coriacea (leatherback sea turtle), 2993 nucleotides long. RefSeq lists it as uncharacterized. NCBI's taxonomy places the organism in Eukaryota, Metazoa, Chordata, Testudines, Dermochelyidae. The transcript is spliced from 2 exons. The record is from RefSeq and is a predicted model, not a curated record.